This 1372-nucleotide ribosomal RNA is filed under the name uncultured bacterium. RNAcentral's name for it is "bacterial SSU rRNA". It matches the Rfam family "Bacterial small subunit ribosomal RNA", at positions 28 to 1381 of the family's 1533-position model. The record is from RNAcentral.
GAUGAACGCUGGCGGCGUGCCUAAUACAUGCAAGUCGAGCGAACGGACGAGAAGCUUGCUUCUCUGAUGUUAGCGGCGGACGGGUGAGUAACACGUGGAUAACCUACCUAUAAGACUGGGAUAACUUCGGGAAACCGGAGCUAAUACCGGAUAAUAUUUUGAACCGCAUGGUUCAAAAGUGAAAGACGGUCUUGCUGUCACUUAUAGAUGGAUCCGCGCUGCAUUAGCUAGUUGGUAAGGUAACGGCUUACCAAGGCAACGAUGCAUAGCCGACCUGAGAGGGUGAUCGGCCACACUGGAACUGAGACACGGUCCAGACUCCUACGGGAGGCAGCAGUAGGGAAUCUUCCGCAAUGGGCGAAAGCCUGACGGAGCAACACCGCGUGAGUGAUGAAGGUCUUCGGAUCGUAAAACUCUGUUAUUAGGGAAGAACAUAUGUGUAAGUAACUGUGCACAUCUUGACGGUACCUAAUCAGAAAGCCACGGCUAACUACGUGCCAGCAGCCGCGGUAAUACGUAGGUGGCAAGCGUUAUCCGGAAUUAUUGGGCGUAAAGCGCGCGUAGGCGGUUUUUUAAGUCUGAUGUGAAAGCCCACGGCUCAACCGUGGAGGGUCAUUGGAAACUGGAAAACUUGAGUGCAGAAGAGGAAAGUGGAAUUCCAUGUGUAGCGGUGAAAUGCGCAGAGAUAUGGAGGAACACCAGUGGCGAAGGCGACUUUCUGGUCUGUAACUGACGCUGAUGUGCGAAAGCGUGGGGAUCAAACAGGAUUAGAUACCCUGGUAGUCCACGCCGUAAACGAUGAGUGCUAAGUGUUAGGGGGUUUCCGCCCCUUAGUGCUGCAGCUAACGCAUUAAGCACUCCGCCUGGGGAGUACGACCGCAAGGUUGAAACUCAAAGGAAUUGACGGGGACCCGCACAAGCGGUGGAGCAUGUGGUUUAAUUCGAAGCAACGCGAAGAACCUUACCAAAUCUUGACAUCCUUUGACAACUCUAGAGAUAGAGCUUUCCCCUUCGGGGGACAAAGUGACAGGUGGUGCAUGGUUGUCGUCAGCUCGUGUCGUGAGAUGUUGGGUUAAGUCCCGCAACGAGCGCAACCCUUAAGCUUAGUUGCCAUCAUUAAGUUGGGCACUCUAAGUUGACUGCCGGUGACAAACCGGAGGAAGGUGGGGAUGACGUCAAAUCAUCAUGCCCCUUAUGAUUUGGGCUACACACGUGCUACAAUGGACAAUACAAAGGGCAGCGAAACCGCGAGGUCAAGCAAAUCCCAUAAAGUUGUUCUCAGUUCGGAUUGUAGUCUGCAACUCGACUACAUGAAGCUGGAAUCGCUAGUAAUCGUAGAUCAGCAUGCUACGGUGAAUACGUUCCCGGGUCU